This 366-nucleotide long non-coding RNA is filed under the name Musa acuminata (dwarf banana). RNAcentral describes it as "long non-coding RNA (MACU_LNC004624)". The record is from RNAcentral. Lineage: Eukaryota; Viridiplantae; Streptophyta; Magnoliopsida; Zingiberales; Musaceae.
GGCCCUAACCCUUUGGGAUUUAUAGGGUGUCUCGGGCGGUGCCACCGCCAAACUGAGCGGUGCCACCGCCUGGCGCCCGAGCGCUUAGGCGGUGCUACCGCUGGUUCUGGCGGUGCCACCGUUGGCGUGCUGCGUUAGAAAAUAUUUUUUUUUUUUUCAGAGGUGUUUGACUCAAGAUAGGUUAAGAUAAUGAGUCGUACUUCAGUAUAUCAUCUUGAAUCGAAGGAGAAUGAUGAAGUCAAAUCCAUAGAAGAACGGAAAAGGAUGAGACAUUUUUCGAAAAAUAUAUUCAAACAAGCUUAUUUUCAGGGAUAAUUUAACAUGCCUAGUUCCCUUCUAAUGAAUUCAAAUUGGUCUUCAUUUAAG